UGAAUAUUGGGCAACAGGGGCAAACAUCAUCAAGCAGCACCGCCUGAGGAAAGAAGACUUUCUUGUUAUAAACAUCUUUCAUCGGUGACGAAAAAAAUGACGGUAGCCAAGAAGGAAGCCCCGGCUAACUACGUGCCAGCAGCCGCGGUAAUACGUAGGGGGCGAGCGUUGUCCGGAAUUAUUGGGCGUAAAGGGUGCGUAGGCGGCCUUUUAAGUCGGAUGUGAAAUGUCCCGGGCUUAACUUGGGUGGUGCAUUUAAUACUGUAGGGCUAGAGUGCAGGAGAGGUAAGCGGAAUUCCUGGUGUAGCGGUGAAAUGCGUAGAUAUUAGGAGGAACACCAGUGGCGAAGGCGGCUUUCUGGACUGUAACUGACACUGAGGCACGAAA
Molecule: ribosomal RNA, 387 nt
Filed under: uncultured bacterium
Lineage: Bacteria
Description: bacterial SSU rRNA
Rfam family: Bacterial small subunit ribosomal RNA
Source: RNAcentral